This 842-nucleotide ribosomal RNA is filed under the name marine metagenome. Its description in RNAcentral is "bacterial SSU rRNA". It matches the Rfam family "Bacterial small subunit ribosomal RNA", at positions 9 to 873 of the family's 1533-position model. The record is from RNAcentral.
CGAGUUUGAUCCUGCUCAGGAUGAACGCUGGCGGUAUGCUUAACACAUGCAAGUCGAACGAAGCUAUUUUUUUGAACCUUCGGGGGAAAUUAAAUAGACUGAGUGGCGAACGGGUGAGUAAUACGCAAGAACCUACCUCUAGGAAGGGGAUAACAAUUGGAAACGAUUGCUAAUACCCUAUAUGCUUCCGAGUAAAAUAGUUUUUUGCCUGGAGAGGGGCUUGUGCCUGAUUAGCUAGUUGGUUAGGUAAUGGCUAACCAAGGCGACGAUCAGUAGCUGGCUUGAGAGGGCGACCAGCCACACUGGGACUGAGACACGGCCCAGACUCCUACGGGAGGCAGCAGUGAGGAAUUUUCCGCAAUGAGCGAAAGCUUGACGGAGCAAUACCGCGUGGAGGACGAAGGCUCAUGGGUCGUAAACUCCUUUUCUUAGGAAAGAAUUUUGACGGUACCUAAGGAAUAAGCAUCGGCUAAUUCCGUGCCAGCAGCCGCGGUAAGACGGGAGAUGCAAGCGUUAUUCGGAUUUAUUGGGCGUAAAGGGUUUGUAGGUUGUUGGUUAAGUCUAUGGUCAAAUUCCGAAGCUCAACUUCGGGCCGGCACUAGAAACUAAUCAACUUGAGUACGUUAGAGGCAGGGGGAAUUCCCAGUGUAGCGGUGAAAUGCGUAGAUAUUGGGAGGAACAUCAAUGGCGAAGGCACCCUGCUAGGCCGAUACUGACACUGAAAAACGAAAGCUAGGGGAGCAAAUGGGAUUAGAUACCCCAGUAGUCCUAGCUGUAAACGAUGGGGACUAAACUUUGGUUUUAAAAAUCAGAGUUAAAGCUAACGCGUUAAGUCCCCCGCC